This 91-nucleotide transfer RNA is filed under the name Alphaproteobacteria bacterium. RNAcentral's name for it is "tRNA-Ser". It matches the Rfam family "tRNA". Rfam says of the family: Transfer RNA (tRNA) molecules are approximately 80 nucleotides in length. Lineage: Bacteria; Pseudomonadati; Pseudomonadota; Alphaproteobacteria. The record is from RNAcentral.
GGUGAGAUGGCAGAGUGGUCUAAUGCGAUUGACUCGAAAUCAAUUGUACCUAUUUCAGGUACCCAGGGUUCAAAUCCCUGUCUCACCGCCA